Drosophila novamexicana is the source of this 2319-nucleotide RNA transcript. It is a transcript of the gene named serine-arginine protein 55, with no coding region annotated. The record is from RefSeq and is a predicted model, not a curated record. Lineage: Eukaryota; Metazoa; Arthropoda; Insecta; Diptera; Drosophilidae. The transcript has 7 exons.
UGUCAUUUCCGUAUAAAUUGCGUCGAGGUUGAGUCUGAACUAUUUUUCGUCUGACGUGCAGUGCGUAAAAAAACAAAAAAAAGUGUGUUUGAGUCCGGCAAAGGAAAUAUUUACAACCAAUACUUGUUAGUAAACGCAUAAUCAACAACAAAUAUGGUUGGAUCACGCGUUUAUGUGGGCGGCCUGCCCUACGGCGUGCGUGAGCGCGAUUUGGAGCGCUUUUUCAAAGGCUAUGGCCGAACUCGUGACAUACUCAUAAAGAAUGGCUAUGGCUUCGUGGAAUUCGAGGACUAUCGUGACGCAGACGAUGCCGUCUACGAGUUAAACGGGAAGGAGCUACUGGGCGAACGUGUGGUUGUUGAACCAGCCAGAGGCACAGCUCGUGGCAGCAACCGGGAUCGUUACGAUGAUCGCUACGGCGGACGCCGCGGCGGGGGCGGCAGAUAUAAUGAUAAAAACAAAAAUUCCAGAUCAUCCUCCCGUUAUGGACCGCCAUUGCGCACCGAGUACCGUUUGAUUGUCGAGAAUUUGUCCAGUCGCGUCAGCUGGCAGAAAAAGAGUGUGAUGUGUAUCUGUUACUGAACCGCCCCAGAGCUUAGAAGAGAGUGACAAAAAUACAGGCAGUAUAUGUGUAAUGGCCAGAGAAAAGGUGCCAUAAACCGAGCUGAACUGAAACUAAUAAAACAAUAACGUGCUAUGGCCAAAUACUUCGUCGAUGUACGAUAUAAAGCCUGGCCGGGGGCCUCAACUUGUUACAUGUAUUACAAGCGGAAGAGAAAUCCAACAAAAAACGAGAGACAGAAACAAAACACGCACGCAACAUAAAGAGAUUCGACGCCUGACAGUGCAUCCCACGUUAUCAUUGUCGGUCGCUUUGUGAAUGAUCUUCGCUUGGGUUAUAUAAAAGCUGUAUUUCCCCUAAAAAACCAUCUCCCAAACACGCUUGGUCUUCGCGCUGUCGUCAUCGCCGUCGCCGCUGUCGUCGUCGUUGAUGCCUCGUCGUCAUCCAUGCCAAAAAAAAUUAAAAACAUACAACUGAUGUGAAUUGUGAUGGCAGCUGCCUGAGAUUUGGGCUAACAAAAGGCCAGCCUAAGCGCAAUGCCCAAAAUGCCAAGAAUAUGUUAUAGCCGUAUUGCGUAGGCUUGCCUAUUGUACGCUGAGGCUUAGGUAUUUAAAUGUUUAAGCAUUCACAAUUUAAUUACAAAAAUUAUAUAAAGAAUUGUCAAAUUCCUUAUAGCGAAUAUGAGAGUUUUGAGGUCAUAUGACAGACAGAGAGAAAGAGAGAGAGAGGGAGAGACGUUAACAAAAAAACUAAACAGUUAGAUGCGAUGGGAUGAUGAUGAUGACCAUUGAUGACAUGACGAUGAUGAUACUGGCCGACUCUUUAACGCGUUCAUUUCAUCUUCGGUUAGGCAAAGUGCAACACUGUGCAUCCAAAACUAGUGCCAAUUCUAUGUGUCUGUGUGUUCCCCCUCUUAACUGGCAAGGUCUGGCCUGGCUCCGACUCUGGCUCUGGCUCUGGCUGACUAUCGACUAGAGACUCAUGGAGCAGCUAACACGCCAUCGUCGCACCGCCGAUAACGUUCCAGCCUCAGAGGCGCUCCCCAAAACGUAUUUCUUAUUUUUACAGUUCGUUUCUGUGAGGCCGUGGGAGAGAUGAGAUGCCGCCGCCUGGUUGACUGCCUGGUUGCGUACUGUUUUGUACUGUGCGUACUGCUGCUCUACACUGCCACUGCUCGCUCUCUCACCCACAAAUCCCGACUGCGGCCCCGGCAGUGGUCCUGGCUCCCGGCAACUGUUUCUGACUGUGCGUUUUUUUGGGUCCCACGAUUAAAAAGUACAUGAACAAACAAAAAAAUAAAACAAGUAGCACAACAACAACAAAAAUAUAUAUAAAUUCAAUAUAAUGAUCAAGUUAAAGCACAUACAUACAUAAAAAAAAAGCAUUUCCUGGCCAAUUCGCUCAUCUGCCAAAACUGCCCGAGUGUCUGGCACGGCAUUGUGGCCGACUUUGCGUGCGGUUUUCUGGUUGCUGGCCUGGCCUGGCCCGGCCGCCAACAUGCUGAUCAAAUGAUUUGAUGUUGAGAUGUGGAGCUCUCGAUCUCGCUAACUGCUCUUUCGAUGAGGUCUUGCGGUCCAGCUGAGGGUUGCCCCCAUUGGCCGACAGUUACUAGGCAGACAAACAAAACUCUCGGUGUUGUACGAUUAAAGCGAUGUGUGUGUCCUCUCUCUGAAAGCGCAUUAAGAUCUGAAGGACUACAUGCGCCAGGCUGGCGAGGUCACCUAUGCUGAUGCCCACAAGCAGCGUCGCAACGAGGG